UGAACCUCAUCUCUCUAUUAUAUUCUCUUACUUUCUAUCUCCCUUCUGAAAUAAAAUGGUGAUUUUAGCAUUGAAAAUACCUCAAAAGACAGUCAAGCUUGAAGGAACUCCUAGCCAUGGCAAGACUCAGACCUUGAUCUUUCUUAAAGACAAAGUGUGAAGAAAAAAACAGCUGUAGUGGUGUUUCUGUGGGGCUACAAAGGGGAGAAGAAAAGAGGUAUGAGAUUUGGGUGAGACUGGGAGAAAGGGAAAUCAAGAGAGAGGAAGGGGAAUUCCUAAAUUGCUGACAAGCAGGGAGAGAAAAGGAAUAUUUUUGAACCAGGUAUCUUUAAUUUAAUAGAUUUUCUUUUUUUGCUUUGAUUCCAAUUCUAAUGUUGUAUAUAUCCAAACAAAAACUUCAUUAAUAAUUCCUAUUCCAAUUUAAUACCAAAUAGAUAUGCUACUUUUGCUAAAACCCAUUCCCAUUCCCAUUCCAUAUUUUUUAGUCCAAUUCUAAUUUCAAUACCUAUGUUUGAACCAAAUGUCUCCUUAGUUGCACUAAACAGGCUGUAACAAUAUUACU
Long non-coding RNA from Ipomoea triloba (trilobed morning glory), 562 nucleotides. RefSeq lists it as uncharacterized. The record is from RefSeq and is a predicted model, not a curated record. The transcript has 3 exons. Lineage: Eukaryota; Viridiplantae; Streptophyta; Magnoliopsida; Solanales; Convolvulaceae.